This 676-nucleotide ribosomal RNA is filed under the name uncultured bacterium. RNAcentral describes it as "bacterial SSU rRNA". It matches the Rfam family "Bacterial small subunit ribosomal RNA", at positions 8 to 694 of the family's 1533-position model. The record is from RNAcentral.
AGAGUUUGAUCCUGGCUCAGGACGAACGCUGGCGGCGCGCUUAACACAUGCAAGUCGAGCGAGAAUCAGUCCUUCGGGACUGAGGACAGCGGCGAACGGGUGAGUAACACGUGGGUAAUCUGCCCUCGAUUCUGGGAUAGCCCGGGGAAACCCGGAUUAAUACCGGAUAGCCUCUCGAGCUUUCGAGCUCAUGAGAAAAGGUAGCUUCGGCCUCCGAUCGAGGAUGAGCCUGCGUAGGAUUAGCUAGUUGGUGGGGUAAAGGCCUACCAAGGCGACGAUCCUUAGCUGGUCUGAGAGGAUGACCAGCCGGAAUGGGACUGAGACACGGCCCAUACACCUACGGGUGGCAGCAACCGGGAAUCUUGCGCAAUGGACGAAAGUCUGACGCAGCGACGCCGCGUGGAGGAUUGAAGGCCUUCGGGUUGUAAACUCCUUUUACGAGGGAAGAUUAUGACGGUACCUCGUGAAUAAGCACCUGCUAACUACGUGCCAGAAGCCUCGGUAAGACGUAGGGUGCAAGCGUUGUCCGGAUUUACUGGGCGUAAAGAGCGUGUAGGCGGCCAAACAGGUCCGUUGUGAAAACUGGAGGCUUAACCUCCAGACGUCGACGGAAACCGUGUGGCUAGAGUCCGGAAGAGGAGAGUGGAAUUCCUGGUGUAGCGGUGAAAUGCGUAGA